Molecule: ribosomal RNA, 874 nt
Filed under: Mammaliicoccus sciuri
Lineage: Bacteria; Bacillati; Bacillota; Bacilli; Caryophanales; Staphylococcaceae
Description: bacterial SSU rRNA
Rfam family: Bacterial small subunit ribosomal RNA
Source: RNAcentral
CGAGCGAACAGAUGAGAAGCUUGCUUCUCUGAUGUUAGCGGCGGACGGGUGAGUAACACGUGGGUAACCUACCUAUAAGACUGGGAUAACUCCGGGAAACCGGGGCUAAUACCGGAUAAUAUUUUGAACCGCAGGGUUCGAUAGUGAAAGACGGUUUCGGCUGUCACUUAUAGAUGGACCCGCGCCGUAUUAGCUAGUUGGUAAGGUAACGGCUUACCAAGGCGACGAUACGUAGCCGACCUGAGAGGGUGAUCGGCCACACUGGAACUGAGACACGGUCCAGACUCCUACGGGAGGCAGCAGUAGGGAAUCUUCCGCAAUGGGCGAAAGCCUGACGGAGCAACGCCGCGUGAGUGAUGAAGGUCUUCGGAUCGUAAAACUCUGUUGUUAGGGAAGAACAAAUUUGUUAGUAACUGAACAAGUCUUGACGGUACCUAACCAGAAAGCCACGGCUAACUACGUGCCAGCAGCCGCGGUAAUACGUAGGUGGCAAGCGUUAUCCGGAAUUAUUGGGCGUAAAGCGCGCGUAGGCGGUUUCUUAAGUCUGAUGUGAAAGCCCACGGCUCAACCGUGGAGGGUCAUUGGAAACUGGGAAACUUGAGUGCAGAAGAGGAGAGUGGAAUUCCAUGUGUAGCGGUGAAAUGCGCAGAGAUAUGGAGGAACACCAGUGGCGAAGGCGGCUCUCUGGUCUGUAACUGACGCUGAUGUGCGAAAGCGUGGGGAUCAAACAGGAUUAGAUACCCUGGUAGUCCACGCCGUAAACGAUGAGUGCUAAGUGUUAGGGGGUUUCCGCCCCUUAGUGCUGCAGCUAACGCAUUAAGCACUCCGCCUGGGGAGUACGACCGCAAGGUUGAAACUCAAGGAAUUGACGGGG